Molecule: long non-coding RNA, 1198 nt
Filed under: Anser brachyrhynchus (Pink-footed goose)
Lineage: Eukaryota; Metazoa; Chordata; Aves; Anseriformes; Anatidae
Description: lncRNA (ENSABRG00000002197.1)
Source: RNAcentral
AUGUUGCAGAGCAAGUUAUAUAAUAACUUUCAAAUCCUCCUGCUGAAAUUGGCUGCCACCAGCCUGCUGGUCUUACACUUGCUGAGUCAACCUGCUCUUCUAGAUGUAGUUCUUCCAGUGUACAAGACUGACAGAAGGCAGUGCUGGCUCAGCAAAGUCAACAUGAAUAAAGGUGAUAGUAGACAGCUGCAGAAAUAAGCCAAGAAUUAGCUUCAAAUGAAGUUUGGUGCUGUUGCAUCUCCCUAGGCUUCAAAGUAUGAAGAUUUUUAAGCUGUUUCAUAAUGUAGCUGCAACUGGUUGAGGAAAGAAAACUAUCAUCUCAGUAUUUCCUUUUUUUUUUUUUUUUUACUGAACAAGUCCAAAGAAAAAAGAACACCAACUUGGAAGACAUUCAUUGAAGAGUUCUGGUGAAUGCAGAAACUGAAGUUAAUGAGGAAAUUGGAUUAAUGUAUCGUUUGUCUUCUUCUUGAUUUUCUAGAUUUAAUCCUGUCAUGGCAGGAAUCUAUGCUCACUGAAGUCUAUAAGCUGUUCCCAAUAAUGUAGGAUUAGAACCCACAGGUAUAGCUGAAAUUGCUAUUUACCUCCUUUCUCCUACAUUGAUAUAUUCUGUAUCAAAUCAAUCGCCAGUGUCUUUUAGUUUUACAUCCUCUACUAACACUCUCACUCCUUUCAAUCUGUUAUUUUUAUUUUUUUUCUCUUCGGUUCCAUUCAUUACUUCUUCUGGCAUUACAAUGAUUAGUAAGAAGAAAUGACAUUCCUUCCCUCAUGGCACAUCUUACAUAUUGUGUAUCUGCUCCAAAUCAUAGCUGCUUAAGCCAAUCAUGUUCUCACUAUUGUCUGUGCUUAUAUAUGUGCAUGUAGGCUUAUUUAUGUAUGCACAUGUGCAGCAUCUGUCAUAAGCAGCCCUGAGGUAGUCUGUUAAUAUACAAAAACAACAAAAGCAACAAUAAUAAUACAAGAGCUACAAUAAUAAUGAUAAUACAGGAGCUAUUACCAACUAUAAAAGCAAUGACUGGUUCAUUUAUUCCGUUACCUUACAGAGUUUAGUUAUUACUUUCCUUUCAAGUCAAGCCAGGACUUUUCAUGCUUCUGGACCAGCGCCAGUGCUACAUCGCAGUUUGACAAAAUGUACUGCAAAGUGUACUCUCUCAUGCACUGAUACACUGUGCACAGCUGUCAUCAUCUUUUAACCUCUUUC